This 313-nucleotide unclassified non-coding RNA is filed under the name Hevea brasiliensis (rubber tree). The record is from RNAcentral. Lineage: Eukaryota; Viridiplantae; Streptophyta; Magnoliopsida; Malpighiales; Euphorbiaceae.
GGAUAAACACCUUAUUUAUGAGAACCUUAGAUAGAUUCCCGGAACUGAUGACAUUCUUAAAGCGUAACAAAGCCCUUGCUCGCCUAUGUCUUUGCAAAUGCACAAUAUUGUUGAAGAAGUCCUGCUCUGGAUCUUCACUGUAAAGAACUGCAAAUGAUCUGAAGUCUUCCACUGUUGGAAGCUUCAGGACCAUAUCUCGAAGUAGAUCGAUCCAUACCUUCUUGAUUGUAUCUUCUUUGUUCAUUGCAGUACCCAUGUGCUUCAAAAAGAAGUUGCUUAGUAUAUGCCUAACCCAGGCUCCAGAAGAUUCUUG